Molecule: ribosomal RNA, 102 nt
Filed under: Nannospalax galili (Upper Galilee mountains blind mole rat)
Lineage: Eukaryota; Metazoa; Chordata; Mammalia; Rodentia; Spalacidae
Source: RNAcentral
UUUAACCCUUUCUAAACAUGCCCAAUCUCUUCUGAUCUAGGAAAGGAAGCAGGGUUGGGUCUGGUUAGUGCUUGGAUGAGAGAAUAUUGGUUCUUAUUGAAC